CAGCCGCCGCGGUAAUACGUAGGUGGCAAGCGUUGUCCGGAAUUAUUGGGCGUGAAGGGCUCGCAGGCGGUUUCUUAAGUCUGAUGUGAAAGCCCCCGGCUCAACCGGGGAGGGUCAUUGGAAACUGGGAAACUUGAGUGCAGAAGAGGAGAGUGGAAUUCCACGUGUAGCGGUGAAAUGCGUAGAGAUGUGGAGGAACACCAGUGGCGAAGGCGAUUCUCUGGUCUGUAACUGACGCUGAGGAGCGAAAGCGUGGGGAGCGAACAGGAUUAGAUACCCCCGUAGUCCCUGUCUCUUAUAC
RNAcentral lists this ribosomal RNA (301 nucleotides) under uncultured bacterium. RNAcentral describes it as "partial 16S ribosomal RNA". It matches the Rfam family "Bacterial small subunit ribosomal RNA", at positions 509 to 807 of the family's 1533-position model. The record is from RNAcentral.